Molecule: unclassified non-coding RNA, 227 nt
Filed under: plant metagenome
Description: partial contains small subunit ribosomal RNA, internal transcribed spacer 1, and 5.8S ribosomal RNA
Source: RNAcentral
UUUCCGUAGGUGAACCUGCGGAAGGAUCAUUAAAGAAUUUGCCCCGUCCUCUCGAGGAUGGGUCCUCUUCUAAACCGUGUAUACAUACCUUUGUUGCUUUGGCGGGCCGCCGUCUCGGCGUUGGCUUCGGCUGACUGUGCCCGCCAGAGAACCCCAACUCUUCUGUUUAGUAUUGUCUGAGUACUAUAUAAUAGUUAAAACUUUCAACAACGGAUCUCUUGGUCCUG